GGGCGCUCCACGGGGGCCUGUGCGCUUCCCACAGCUGGGUAUUUCUUGUUGGUUUGUCUCAUAUAGGCCAGGGUGUGGAAUGCUGAAAGACAAGUUCUCACUAUGUAGCCCAGGCUGGCCUCAAACUCGCUGGGAUCCUGCUUCAGCCCCCCAAAGGUUGGGAUUACAGAACUGUGCAUGGGAGCAGAUCUGCACCAACGGGUGUGCUCAGAGUCGCACAGUGGGAAGACGGGGCUGCUGUCACCCUUAUUCCUGUGUUAGAGAAGAAACCAAGACUCCGGAGAUCACACAGCCUGUCUGACAGCAGGAGGCAGGCGACAGAACUAGAAACCAGGAUCCAAGCGGUGUGACUGCUGCAGUUCAGGUCUCAAAUGUCCCCAAAGGCCGGAUGUGCCAGGCUGGGCCCCCGGGGGAGUUCGGUCACAGGUUCGUGCCCUUGGAGGACUUUGGGAGCUGCCUCUUUCUCACUCUGCUCCCAGGUCCCCAGAGGGUGAGCAGCUCUCCCAGGACACCUUGUGCCAUGCCAUGCUGCUUCCACAGGCCGAGCACAGGGCUAAGCUGGCUUGGGCAGAACUUUUCAUUUUAAUAAGUUGGCUCCCUCAGGUGUUUUGUUACGGUGAUGGAUAAAAGCAGACUCACCUGGAACCUCCCGAGUGUGGGAAUUACAGGUAUGCACCACCGAGGCCGGCUCAGCAUGGAUUCUAAACUCAUCACCAGGCUGGGAUCCACGCAGAAUGGGGUGAGGAGACCCCGUCGGAGAGUGGGAGCAUCGGGGUGACUGAUGAUGUCUUCCUCACAGGGGACCUGGGGGAGGCUGGAGGCCACCAGCCACCUCAGGACUGCUGGGCCCUGUCGGCAUGGGCUUGGCAUCCUGUUGUCCCAGUAUGGCCCGGUCAGCGGGUCCCAGGGGCCCCCUGGUGUGGCCUCUCUGGUGCUCUGUCCAUGUGCGCUGGGCCAUCUGUCAUGGGUUCACAGUCCCAGUAAACAGCAGUUUGGUUUCUUGAAUCAUGGCUUUCAGACUGG
This is a long non-coding RNA of Heterocephalus glaber (naked mole-rat), 1023 nucleotides long. NCBI's taxonomy places the organism in Eukaryota, Metazoa, Chordata, Mammalia, Rodentia, Bathyergidae. The record is from Ensembl.